GCCGGGAUAGCUCAGUCGGUAGAGCAGGGGACUGAAAAUCCCCGUGUCGGUGGUUCGAUUCCGCCUCCCGGCA
This 73-nucleotide transfer RNA is filed under the name Pseudomonadota bacterium. RNAcentral describes it as "Proteobacteria bacterium (marine sediment metagenome) tRNA-Phe". It matches the Rfam family "tRNA". From Rfam's summary of the family: Transfer RNA (tRNA) molecules are approximately 80 nucleotides in length. Their secondary structure includes four short double-helical elements and three loops (D, anti-codon, and T loops). Lineage: Bacteria; Pseudomonadati; Pseudomonadota. RNAcentral also lists the same sequence under 4 other names. The record is from RNAcentral.